UACGUAGGGGGCAAGCGUUAUCCGGAUUUAUUGGGUUUAAAGGGUGCGUAGGCGGCAUUAUAAGUUAGUGGUAAAAUAUUGGGGCUUCACCUCACUACGCCAUUAAUACUGUAGAGCUAGAGAACAGACGAGGUAGGCGGAAUAAGUUAAGUAGCGGUGAAAUGCUUAGAUAUAACUUAGAACUCCGAUAGCGAAGGCAGCUUACCAGACUGCGACUGACGCUGAAGCACGAGAGCGUGGGUAGCGAACAGG
RNAcentral lists this ribosomal RNA (252 nucleotides) under uncultured Odoribacter sp. RNAcentral describes it as "partial 16S ribosomal RNA". It matches the Rfam family "Bacterial small subunit ribosomal RNA", at positions 524 to 776 of the family's 1533-position model. The record is from RNAcentral. Lineage: Bacteria; Pseudomonadati; Bacteroidota; Bacteroidia; Bacteroidales; Odoribacteraceae.